This 253-nucleotide ribosomal RNA is filed under the name uncultured bacterium. RNAcentral describes it as "partial 16S ribosomal RNA". It matches the Rfam family "Bacterial small subunit ribosomal RNA", at positions 524 to 776 of the family's 1533-position model. The record is from RNAcentral.
UACGUAGGGGGCAAGCGUUGUCCGGAAUCAUUGGGCGUAAAGCGCGCGUAGGCGGCCCUGUAAGUCCGUUGUGAAAGUCAAAGGCUCAACCUUUGAAAGCCGAUGGAUACUGCAGGGCUAGAGUCCGGAAGAGGCGAGUGGAAUUCCUGGUGUAGCGGUGGAAUGCGCAGAUAUCAGGAGGAACACCAAUAGCGAAGGCAGCUUGCUGGGACGGUACUGACGCUAAGGCGCGAAAGCGUGGGGAGCGAACAGG